UACGUAGGGUGCAAGCGUUGUCCGGAAUUAUUGGGCGUAAAGAGCUCGUAGGCGGUUUGUUGCGUCGGGUGUGAAAUCCCGAGGCUCAACCUCGGGUCUGCAGUCGAUACGAGCAAACUAGAGUGUUGCAGGGGAGACUGGAAUUCCUGGUGUAGCGGUGAAAUGCGCAGAUAUCAGGAGGAACACCGGUGGCGAAGGCGGGUCUCUGGGCAACAACUGACGCUGAGGAGCGAAAGCGUGGGGAGCGAACAGG
RNAcentral lists this ribosomal RNA (253 nucleotides) under uncultured bacterium. RNAcentral's name for it is "partial 16S ribosomal RNA". It matches the Rfam family "Bacterial small subunit ribosomal RNA", at positions 524 to 776 of the family's 1533-position model. The record is from RNAcentral.